GGCCCUGUGGCUUAGUUGGCUAAAGUGCCUGUCUAGUAAAUAGGAGAUCCUGGGUUCAAAUCCCAGAAGGGCCU
RNAcentral lists this transfer RNA (74 nucleotides) under Alligator mississippiensis (American alligator). RNAcentral describes it as "tRNA-Thr (AGT) (tRNA-Thr-AGT-14-1)". It matches the Rfam family "tRNA". From Rfam's summary of the family: Transfer RNA (tRNA) molecules are approximately 80 nucleotides in length. Their secondary structure includes four short double-helical elements and three loops (D, anti-codon, and T loops). Further hydrogen bonds mediate the characteristic L-shaped molecular structure. tRNAs have two regions of fundamental functional importance: the anti-codon, which is responsible for specific mRNA codon recognition, and the 3' end, to which the tRNAs corresponding amino acid is attached (by aminoacyl-tRNA synthetases). tRNAs cope with the degeneracy of the genetic code in two manners: having more than one tRNA (with a specific anti-codon) for a particular amino acid; and 'wobble' base-pairing, i.e. permitting non-standard base-pairing at the 3rd anti-codon position. The record is from Rfam by way of RNAcentral. Lineage: Eukaryota; Metazoa; Chordata; Crocodylia; Alligatoridae.